RNAcentral lists this ribosomal RNA (415 nucleotides) under uncultured archaeon. RNAcentral describes it as "bacterial SSU rRNA". It matches the Rfam family "Archaeal small subunit ribosomal RNA", at positions 401 to 814 of the family's 1478-position model. The record is from RNAcentral.
AUCUGGCUGUCGAGAUGCCUAAAAAGCAUUUCAUAGCAAGGGCCGGGCAAGACCGGUGCCAGCCGCCGCGGUAACACCGGCGGCUCGAGUGGUAACCGUUAUUAUUGGGUCUAAAGGGUCUGUAGCCGGCCGGAUAAGUCUCUUGAGAAAUCUGGCAGCUUAACUGUCAGGCUUUCAGGAGAUACUGUCUGGCUCGAGGCCGGGAGAGGUGAGAGGUACUUCAGGGGUAGGGGUGAAAUCUUGUAAUCCUUGAAGGACCACCAGUGGCGAAGGCGUCUCACCAGAACGGACCUGACGGCAAGGGACGAAAGCUAGGGGCACGAACCGGAUUAGAUACCCGGGUAGUCCUAGCCGUAAACGAUACUCGCUAGGUGUCGGCCACGGUGCGACCGUUGUCGGUGCCGUAGGGAAGCCG